This 409-nucleotide unclassified non-coding RNA is filed under the name Hevea brasiliensis (rubber tree). Lineage: Eukaryota; Viridiplantae; Streptophyta; Magnoliopsida; Malpighiales; Euphorbiaceae. The record is from RNAcentral.
GGAUAAUUUAUCAAAAUAUGUAAAAGGAUUACUAUUAUUGAUAAAAGUGGAUUUCUCCCUCUCCACCUCUAGUCGAGGCUGUAAAUAGUACCUAAGAAGUUUGUUUUGCAUGCAAAUUUGCGAGGAAUGAAGAGGAAUUCUUGUAAAUCUGUUGAAUUUCGUUCAUUGGAGCUAGUUGUUUUACCUGUGUUUACUGUUAUCUUCGCAGGCUUCAGGCUUUGGAGGUUUCAAAGGAAGGAACUUUGUUAUGGCAAAGGAUGAAGGUACUCCCAAGGGUUAAAAGUGCCAGCCGAGUGAGCAUCGUCGCCCUUUGGCUAAAAGAGAUUGAGAGACCAACAGGGUUUUGCCUCCUGCCUUCUUCUCCUUCCACCAUAUUUCUUCCUUGAUAGUGUAUGGGUUUUGGUUUUCA